Molecule: transfer RNA, 74 nt
Filed under: Conocara murrayi (Murray's smooth-head)
Lineage: Eukaryota; Metazoa; Chordata; Actinopteri; Alepocephaliformes; Alepocephalidae
Description: tRNA-Lys
Rfam family: tRNA
About the family: Transfer RNA (tRNA) molecules are approximately 80 nucleotides in length. Their secondary structure includes four short double-helical elements and three loops (D, anti-codon, and T loops). Further hydrogen bonds mediate the characteristic L-shaped molecular structure. tRNAs have two regions of fundamental functional importance: the anti-codon, which is responsible for specific mRNA codon recognition, and the 3' end, to which the tRNAs corresponding amino acid is attached (by aminoacyl-tRNA synthetases). tRNAs cope with the degeneracy of the genetic code in two manners: having more than one tRNA (with a specific anti-codon) for a particular amino acid; and 'wobble' base-pairing, i.e. permitting non-standard base-pairing at the 3rd anti-codon position.
Source: RNAcentral
CACUAGAAAGCUAAAUCGGACCUAGCGUUAGCCUUUUAAGCUAAAGACUGGUGACUCCCGACCACCUCUAAUGA